CAGCAGCCACGGUAAUACAGAGGGUGCGAGCGUUAAUCGGAUUUACUGGGCGUAAAGCGUGCGUAGGCGGCUUUUUAAGUCGGAUGUGAAAUCCCUGAGCUUAACUUAGGAAUUGCAUUCGAUACUGGGAAGCUAGAGUAUGGGAGAGGAUGGUAGAAUUCCAGGUGUAGCGGUGAAAUGCGUAGAGAUCUGGAGGAAUACCGAUGGCGAAGUCAGCCAUCUGGCCUAAUACUGACGCUGAGGUACGAAAGCAUGGGGAGCAAACAGGAUUAGAGACCCCCGUAGUCCCUGUCUCUUAUAC
RNAcentral lists this ribosomal RNA (301 nucleotides) under uncultured bacterium. RNAcentral's name for it is "partial 16S ribosomal RNA". It matches the Rfam family "Bacterial small subunit ribosomal RNA", at positions 509 to 807 of the family's 1533-position model. The record is from RNAcentral.